UCCGCUGGUCGUAGGAACAGACACGACCACGGGCUCUCCUCUCUCCCUCUCCUCUGGAUCCGAGCCGCCAGGAGGCGCACGACCUGCGCGACGCUCGAUCCGGUGCCGCGCCGGCCGCCGACCGAUGGCCGACGCCGGUGAUCGGAGCACACUGCACCACCGGUCUGCCUCAGCUCCCCCUUUCCUUUGCGCGCCCGAGCUCCUCGCUGUACGCCGCCCGGGAGGGCUCGCGCUCGCCGCUCGACCAAAGCCACCGCCGGCCGGUCCGGUGCCGCGCCGGCCGCCGGCAGAUGACCGACGGAGGUGUUCGAAGCAUCCUGCACCACCGUGAAGUAGCUACUGAGCAGUGCGGCCAUCGAGCGACACCAGACCGCGGGACAGCGUGAGAAGAGGCAGGGGGUGUCUGGCGGGAUGGGGAAGACCACGAGGAAGUGUGGCGAUGGAGUGCAAUCCCGAGGAAGAAGAACAUUGCAAAGAAAGACCCUAGCCAAGCGCCACCCAAUUCUCUUUCAUUGACCUAUCUAAUGGCCAUCAAUUCAAUUGGUCCAAGCUGCUGCGUUUGACCUUCCCACUGACCCACUACAUCCUCGCUCAGCUGCUUCUGCUAUGUUUCUUCUCCAUGGCAUUGUCGGCUGCCAGUGUGCCUGACAUCAUGCCUAUGUGACCUCAUAUCAUGCUCCUCUACGUGUUCUUCUCACCCUGGUUCCAUGAGGAGAGAUGUUGUUCUGUGGUUCUGUAGCUCUACUCCAUAGCAAUGAUGGAGUCGCCUCCAGAUGGGAUAGCAAUUAUCUCGGGAUCAUGAAUAGCUUUGGUGCCCUCUCUCGCUCAUGGUGAGGCCGUGCACGCUUGCCAUGGUUGUGGCUACGAAAUCUCAGACUGAGUCGCUUCGGUCGGGCACUAUUCAGGUACAACUCACUUUGCUCCACCAUUGUUGGUUGCUGUGCAUCACAUGCUUGAUGAAAUUCAGAGAUGGUGUUGAUCUUGCUCUUGCUAGACCAUCCUUGUUAUAAAUCAUUAUUGGGUUCUAGCUAGGGUCUUAGGAAUUGAUAAUUUCCAGAUUGUAUCGCUGAAAAUGUAGUUCUUAUAAGAUUCUCAUUGUCAAGUUGUUAUGGUAGCAUGAGUGAAAAUAUGUUCCUUUUAAAUGCUUAGAUUCUAUAGAAACCUCUAAUCUAUAUCCUAAAUUACUGUAUUGUGUGCUCUUGUAAAAUAAACUGUAUAUAUUGAUUCAAUUUAUAUAUGUAGUACAAUGAUUUUGCUCACAUCACAAAUAUCUAACAACAAGAGUGGUACUGAGUUCACUUGCAACCAAAACAUUUAAAUUCCAGUUCAACAUUGCAUAUUCCUAUCUAAUAAACGGUCAGAUGUUUCAGAUUAAUGUGGGAAUUUCUAGCAUAUUCCUCUUUUACGGUGACGCCAGAUUUGAAUUUGAAGGCGUACUUGCCCCUGAGCUGGCGGUGCCUGAGAACAACGACGACAAAAUUCUGGCAUCGUCUCCGAGCUCUGUCGCAAGCAACGCAGGAACGCCUCAGGCUCAAAGUCGGGUUGCUGUGCAGGCGAGCGGCAGCAGCCACUUAUGUCUCUUCCAAGAAGGGCGCCACCUUGGAGGAGCAUAACGACACCGGCUGCAGCGGCGCACGAGCCAACAAAGGGACAGGACCAUUGGAGACGACGGACACAGAGGUGCAUGCUAGGCAUGCCGAUCAUCAGACACUAGGGAGCGAUCCCACCCGUGAUGCCACAGUACACGCAGCCGUCGCCGCCGCCGCCACAUGCCAUGAUCUACGGGCAAGUGCCUGCUCAGCAGCGUACAAGAGAGAUCACCGCGGGGCCCUACUCGCCAAGACGAUGCUUCUCUUAUCGUGCUUAUUUACUUGCCUUCUAUGUGUGACGAGAAGGAGCGGGAGAUUCAGAGGCUCAGGUUGGCAUCACUAGGUGAGUUCCCUGCUGAUUUGUCGAGCACGGGAUAUAGACUAUAGUCGGGUUCCUUCCUAACUCUGCUGGGCCUAAUGAAGAGAAAGAAUCAACUUUUGAGAUUAA
Molecule: long non-coding RNA, 2037 nt
Organism: Triticum dicoccoides
Lineage: Eukaryota; Viridiplantae; Streptophyta; Magnoliopsida; Poales; Poaceae
Exons: 3
Source: RefSeq, a predicted model, not a curated record